Molecule: ribosomal RNA, 465 nt
Filed under: uncultured bacterium
Lineage: Bacteria
Description: partial 16S ribosomal RNA
Rfam family: Bacterial small subunit ribosomal RNA
Source: RNAcentral
GACGAACGCUGGCGGCGUGCUUAACACAUGCAAGUCGAACGGAAAGGCCCCUUUGGGGGUACUCGAGUGGCGAACGGGUGAGUAACACGUGAGUAACCUGCCCUUGACUUCGGGAUAACUUCAGGAAACUGGGGCUAAUACCGGAUAGGAAUCCUUGCUGCAUGGUGGGGGUUGGAAAGCUUCGGCGGUUUUGGAUGGACUCGCGGCUUAUCAGCUUGUUGGUGGGGUAGUGGCUUACCAAGGCUUUGACGGGUAGCCGGCCUGAGAGGGCGACCGGCCACAGUGGGACUGAGAUACGGCCCAGACUCCUACGGGAGGCAGCAGUGGGGAAUAUUGCACAAUGGGCGGAAGCCUGAUGCAGCAACGCCGCGUGCGGGAUGACGGCCCUCGGGUUGUAAAACGCUUUCAGCAGGGGCGAAGCUUGUGGUGACGGUACCUGCAGAAGAAGCACCGGCUAACUACGUG